AAAAUGAUUUUCAUUGUCUUCAUUGUCACAUAGACAAUAAUAAGAGGACAUAUAUGGAUACUAAACUAAUAGGAAACUAUGCGAUCACAAAUCCACGGCAAAAAAUAAUAAUAAUGAAAAUCAUCAUGCGGUGAUUUCAUAUAUAUACAACGAACUACGAGACAUAGCAUAUCUUUUGAAGAUUUCAAACUCUGAAUGGAAUCUGUAUUUGAUAUUCGAUAAUUAUGAACUUGGUUUUGUUUGUUUUUUUUUCGGUAUAAGUAUUUGAAAUGAUUAUUAUCAUUUAAUUUGUUGCAAAAAUUCAAAUUGAAUAUAUAUUAAAAAAUGACAUAGGGUGAUCUAGAUAACAAGAGAGUAGUAAUCCCAUAUCUAGUAGUAAUUGACAACCCGAAGUCUAGCUAGUUUUUGACAGAGUAAAAUUUAAGGCUUAUAUAUAUGACCUGGAGUUCUGUAGACAGAUCCAUUGUUUUGUAAUGAAUAAAAAUGAACGUGACCACAUAUGUGUUGGAUGAGAAAAUCGUACGUCCAAGAAACAACGCAAGAGAUACCAC
Molecule: long non-coding RNA, 551 nt
Filed under: Brassica napus (rape)
Lineage: Eukaryota; Viridiplantae; Streptophyta; Magnoliopsida; Brassicales; Brassicaceae
Description: long non-coding RNA (BNAP_LNC004171)
Source: RNAcentral